CUGUCGAAUAGUUGUGUUCGAAAUGUAGAAGCGGCAUAAAUGGGAAGAAUUUCCCCACUUACUAGCUAUAUUAACUAUAUAUCCAUAUCAUGAAGGCAUGCAUACUGUGUAAUACAAUAUUUUAUGCUUCAGCAUAUUCAUGCACGCAUGAAUGAUGCAUCAUGCAUCAUUCAUGCGUGCAUGAAUAUGCUGAAGCAUAAAAUAUUGUAUUACACACUAACUAUAUGGGUAUACUUAUUCUUGCGCUGUAUAAUUGUUAACGUAAACCAUAAAUAUUAUACGUAUUCAAGUGUAUACGGUACUUUCGAGCUUGCAUGUCACACGGUGUAUCGCCAGCAUGUGCCUGAAGCGGUUGAGUAUAAUUCACGCUGUGCGAAUUCAAAGCCCGUCAAAUGUAAAUUAUUUGUUAAUUAUUAUUUGUAUUUGAGAUACUUGUAUUUAAUUUCAAGUGCGUAUUAGAAUUCGCGCAGACCUUAGGUUGGCGCAAAAAUAAAAUUGAGCGGGAAUUAGUCUGCGCGAAAAGUUGCUGUCAAGCAAACAUCCUGAUGCGCGAGCAUUUUAUCCGUACGGAAUGCUAGAAACGUUUCCAUUUUACUAAAUGCAUUUAUGAUGUGACAUAUACGCCCCCUGGCUUCAUAGGCAACAGAAAAAGCGUGUAAAACCUGUAGUAAAACUAUUUUUGAUUUAUGGUGCCUACAUUUGAUAGCUGAAAGCCAGGGGCGGAUCUAGGAUUUUUCGUACCUCAGUCAAAAAUUUUUGGCGGACGGGGGCGUUGUCAGCGCGGGGCGUUGUCAGCGCUGGGCGUGGUCUCGACUGGGCGUGAAAAACGUAUUUAG
Molecule: non-coding RNA, 836 nt
Organism: Paramuricea clavata
Lineage: Eukaryota; Metazoa; Cnidaria; Anthozoa; Malacalcyonacea; Plexauridae
Source: the annotation of a GenBank genome assembly